GAUUCUAUGGUUUAAUGGUUAGCACUCUGGACUUUGAAUCCAGUGAUCCGAGUUCAAAUCUCGUUAGAACCU
Molecule: transfer RNA, 72 nt
Filed under: Salmo salar (Atlantic salmon)
Lineage: Eukaryota; Metazoa; Chordata; Actinopteri; Salmoniformes; Salmonidae
Rfam family: tRNA
About the family: Transfer RNA (tRNA) molecules are approximately 80 nucleotides in length.
Source: Rfam by way of RNAcentral